Molecule: ribosomal RNA, 253 nt
Filed under: uncultured bacterium
Lineage: Bacteria
Description: partial 16S ribosomal RNA
Rfam family: Bacterial small subunit ribosomal RNA
Source: RNAcentral
UACGAAGGGGACUAGCGUUGUUCGGAAUUACUGGGCGUAAAGCGCACGUAGGCGGAUUUGUUAGUCAGGGGUGAAAUCCCGGGGCUCAACCUCGGAACUGCCUUUGAUACUGCAAAUCUCGAGUCCGAUAGAGGUGGGUGGAAUUCCUAGUGUAGAGGUGAAAUUCGUAGAUAUUAGGAAGAACACCGGUGGCGAAGGCGGCCCACUGGAUCGGUACUGACGCUGAGGCGCGAAAGCGUGGGGAGCAAACAGG